CCUACGGGUGGCAGCAGUGGGGAAUAUUGGACAAUGGGCGAAAGCCUGAUCCGGCCAUGCCGCGUGUGUGAAGAAGGCCUUCGGGUUGUAAAGCACUUUCAGUGGGGAAGAAAGCCUUGGGGCUAAUACCCUCGAGGAAGGACAUCACCCACAGAAGAAGCACCGGCUAACUCCGUGCCAGCAGCCGCGGUAAUACGGAGGGUGCGAGCGUUAAUCGGAAUUACUGGGCGUAAAGCGCGCGUAGGCGGUCUGAUAAGCCGGUUGUGAAAGCCCCGGGCUCAACCUGGGAACGGCAUCCGGAACUGUCAGGCUAGAGUGCAGGAGAGGAAGGUAGAAUUCCCGGUGUAGCGGUGAAAUGCGUAGAGAUCGGGAGGAAUACCAGUGGCGAAGGCGGCCUUCUGGACUGACACUGACGCUGAGGUGCGAAAGCGUGGGUAGCAAACAGGAUUAGAUACCCUAGUAGUC
This 465-nucleotide ribosomal RNA is filed under the name Vreelandella stevensii. RNAcentral's name for it is "partial 16S ribosomal RNA". It matches the Rfam family "Bacterial small subunit ribosomal RNA", at positions 338 to 795 of the family's 1533-position model. Lineage: Bacteria; Pseudomonadati; Pseudomonadota; Gammaproteobacteria; Oceanospirillales; Halomonadaceae. The record is from RNAcentral.